RNAcentral lists this long non-coding RNA (519 nucleotides) under Rhinopithecus bieti (black snub-nosed monkey). RNAcentral's name for it is "lncRNA (ENSRBIG00000045085.1)". The record is from RNAcentral. Lineage: Eukaryota; Metazoa; Chordata; Mammalia; Primates; Cercopithecidae.
UCUUGUCUUACAGAUGAGGAAACUGAGGCACCGAGUGGCUGAGUCCUGUGCCCAAGGCUGCCCGCUAUUCAGCAGAAGAGCCAACGUCUGUGCUUUUGACCCCUCUGCUUCCCGCCUCCCUGUGACCACUUUCGUUCUGUCUUCCCUUCGCUCUGUUGAGGUCUCAAAUUCAGGAAUAUUCAAGGGAAAGGUCAGCUGCUGGCCUAUUUGGAAGAUUCAAGGUUGGGCCAAGAGCCUUCAGGACGAAGAGCAAAAGUUAUAGCUCCAAACUGUCUCUCCUGCCCAGAAAGUCAUAUGGAGAUGGAGAUGAAAUUGGUAGAAGGAACCCCAUGGAAGUUUUUGUUUCUUUAGGGCUUAGAAACGUUGUGUGAAAACCUUUAUCUGCUAAUCAGUCUGGAGCCAGGACUUUGCUGACCUCUAUCCUGUGGAAUACUUUACCUGCCUAUAAAUGCUCCAGAACACUCUCCAGCAGCCACGCAAUCUCAGCCUUCAUUUUUGUCAUGCCACACACAAUGCCAG